RNAcentral lists this ribosomal RNA (449 nucleotides) under uncultured bacterium. RNAcentral's name for it is "partial 16S ribosomal RNA". It matches the Rfam family "Bacterial small subunit ribosomal RNA", at positions 29 to 523 of the family's 1533-position model. The record is from RNAcentral.
AAUGAACGCUGGCGGCAUGCCUAACACAUGCAAGUCGAACGAAGGCUUCGGCCUUAGUGGCGCACGGGUGCGUAACGCGUGGGAAUCUGCCCCUUGGUUCGGAAUAACAGUUGGAAACGACUGCUAAUACCGGAUGAUGACGUAAGUCCAAAGAUUUAUCGCCGAGGGAUGAGCCCGCGUAGGAUUAGCUAGUUGGUGUGGUAAAGGCGCACCAAGGCGACGAUCCUUAGCUGGUCUGAGAGGAUGAUCAGCCACACUGGGACUGAGACACGGCCCAGACUCCUACGGGAGGCAGCAGUGGGGAAUAUUGGACAAUGGGCGAAAGCCUGAUCCAGCAAUGCCGCGUGAGUGAUGAAGGCCUUAGGGUUGUAAAGCUCUUUUACCCGGGAUGAUAAUGACAGUACCGGGAGAAUAAGCUCCGGCUAACUCCGUGCCAGCCGCCGCAGUAA